This 283-nucleotide long non-coding RNA is filed under the name Ananas comosus (pineapple). RNAcentral describes it as "long non-coding RNA (ACOM_LNC025931)". The record is from RNAcentral. Lineage: Eukaryota; Viridiplantae; Streptophyta; Magnoliopsida; Poales; Bromeliaceae.
UUUUCUUUUUCUUUUUUUUUUAAAAAAUUGUGUAAUUUUAGGCUUCGUUUUAUUCGGAGUUAAGUAAGAACUAAUUAUUUCAGAAAUAGACAUAAGAUGAGGGUUAAGGUGGGUAUAGAGUAAUUUUUUGUUUGGUUGAAAAUUUGGUUUAGUUUAGAUAUAAGCAAAAUUAUGUUUGGUUUAGAAUUAGGUUUAGCUAGAUAUAAGCAAAUUAGCGUUUGAUUGGAGUAAGUGGAAUAAGAAGGAUAGUGAGUGAUUAUAGAGAUAAAAAGAUCAAAAUACC